Arvicanthis niloticus (Nile rat) is the source of this 103-nucleotide non-coding RNA. The record is from RefSeq and is a predicted model, not a curated record. Lineage: Eukaryota; Metazoa; Chordata; Mammalia; Rodentia; Muridae.
AUAUAUAUACACACACAUAUACUCAAAUUGGAAUGCUACAGAGAGGUUAGCAUGGCCCCUGUACAGGGAUGACAUGCAAAUUCAUGAAGUUUUCUAUAUUUUU